Molecule: small nucleolar RNA, 70 nt
Organism: Acomys russatus (golden spiny mouse)
Lineage: Eukaryota; Metazoa; Chordata; Mammalia; Rodentia; Muridae
Product: small nucleolar RNA SNORD113/SNORD114 family
Exons: 1
Source: RefSeq, a predicted model, not a curated record
UGGAUCAAUGAUGACCACUGGUAGAAUAUGAAUAUGUACGAUGGGCAUAUUUACAUACUCUGAGGUGCAU